GCCCUAAACAUGCCAAGUCCGAGGCGAAGAUUAUAGCAAAUGUAAUCUUAGCGGCGGACGGGUGAGUAACGCGUGGGCAACCUACCUCUAACUGGGGGAUAACACAGGGAAACUUGUGCUAAUACCGCAUAACAUCAUGAAAUGACAUCAUUUUAUGAUCAAAGGAGCAAUCCGGUAAGAGAUGGGCCCGCGUCCAAUUAGCUAGUUGGUGGUGUAACGGACCACCAAGGCGACGAUUGGUAGCCGAACUGAGAGGUUGAUCGGCCACAUUGGGACUGAGACACGGCCCAGACUCCUACGGGAGGCAGCAGUGGGGAAUAUUGCGCAAUGGGGGAAACCCUGACGCAGCAACGCCGCGUGAAGGAUGAAGGUUUUCGGAUCGUAAACUUCUUUGAUGAGGGACGAAAUAAAUGACGGUACCUCAAAAACAAGCCACGGCUAACUACGUGCCAGCAGCCGCGGUAAUACGUAGGUGGCGAGCGUUGUCCGGAAUUACUGGGUGUAAAGGGCGUGUAGGCGGGAAUGUAAGUCAGAUGUGAAAUACCGAGGCUUAACUUCGGGGCUGCAUCUGAAACUAUGUUUCUUGAGUGUCGGAGAGGAAAGUGGAAUUCCCAGUGUAGCGGUGAAAUGCGUUAUAUUGGGAGGAACACCAGUGGCGAAGGCGACUUUCUGGACGAUAACUGACGCUGAGGUGCGAAAAGCGUGGGGAGCA
This 712-nucleotide ribosomal RNA is filed under the name bacterium enrichment culture clone bHCH6_C3. RNAcentral's name for it is "bacterial SSU rRNA". It matches the Rfam family "Bacterial small subunit ribosomal RNA", at positions 46 to 770 of the family's 1533-position model. The record is from RNAcentral.